GGCAAAAGAGAAUCGGGCACGGGAUUUGGAUUCGGCUCGGCCAGGCACUUAGAUACAGUCAAACCCUAAUCCUUCUGAAAAGGCGAGAUCCUGGCCAAAUAGUGAAACAAAUCCUAGAUUUGGUGCAUCACUAACAAAAUCAAACUAAAAAAUACAAAAUAGUAGGUCUAACUAGAUGUUCCCCAGGGCCUUUGCAUGCAGUACCAGCACCAGAUUCACUUUGAUGAGAGAAACAUCCUAAUUGCUUAUUUGCCCAUAGACUUCAGUUGCGUUUUCAUGUGAUAAACCAUGAGCUACGUCUUGGAAUCAGUGGUGAUUUAAUAAUAUCUUGGGCCCCUAGGCUACUAUCACACAGGGCCUGCUUUCUGGGCUACUGCUGGGUCCAUAUGGGUGCAGAUCCAGGCAUGUGUGCAGCCAAGCUCUUUAUGCUGGUUCAGUUCUAUUCUGGGUUGGGUGCUUUGCCUGUUUUCUUCUCCCAGCAGACCCAUCAGCCAGACCCAGAAGCGCAAAUAAAAAUUAAUAGAAAAAGAAAAUAGAAAUAAUAAUUGAAAAAAAGCUGAUGGGUCCCAGAUCACACAGAGCCCCUACUAUAGUCUAGGGUAGUCUGUGCAUUAAUCUGCCCCUGGUUGGAAUUGAAUAUAGCCCAGGGAUUACAGUCUCUUGCACAAGACUGACAUUUAUGGGUUGUGGUGAGGUCACAACUAGGAUACCUGGGAAAGUCCAGGACGGAGCUUAUUUAUGUCCCAGGUUCCUAACAGAGCGGUUUCAGGACUGGUAGUCCAGCCCAGGUGUUUUGUGUUUUCCUGAGUCAUCUCAGGUUGAUAAUUAAAAAGGCAGCUCAAGCCAGAAUGGAGAACUCCAGUCUGGGGAAAGACACAAAAAAGCUGCCUGUGUGAGCUCACUGAGAGGAUUGAGAUACUAAAUACCAGUUACGGUAGCUGUUUUUUGAAUUUCACGGAACUCCUGCCGUAAUAUUCAGAAUACUUCCAAUUCCAGGAUAAUCAACAGGACCUGGGAGAGAGCAGAAAGGCAAGGGUUGUCUUGGUAAGGU
Long non-coding RNA from Xenopus laevis (African clawed frog), 1051 nucleotides. RefSeq lists it as uncharacterized. The transcript is spliced from 3 exons. The record is from RefSeq and is a predicted model, not a curated record. Lineage: Eukaryota; Metazoa; Chordata; Amphibia; Anura; Pipidae.